This is a long non-coding RNA of Diabrotica virgifera virgifera (western corn rootworm), 1359 nucleotides long. RefSeq lists it as uncharacterized. The transcript is spliced from 2 exons. NCBI's taxonomy places the organism in Eukaryota, Metazoa, Arthropoda, Insecta, Coleoptera, Chrysomelidae. The record is from RefSeq and is a predicted model, not a curated record.
AGCGACACCUGGUUUCUACGCUCAGCAACAUUAUUGGCACUUUUAAUUAUAUUGGCCAAUUAUAUUAGUCCCGGUUACUGGAUAAUUGUCAAACAAGAAUCUACAGGUCGAGCAAGUCUCGUAAAUUUCACGAUUGCGAGCCACGCUUCACGCAACCGUGUUUGCGUACUUGUGUUUCGAGUUGCGUGGUCGUGCGGAGUUAUAUUUACCAAAUUUCAUAGAAGAGUGGGUGGGGCCAAAUUUAAAUAUAAUCGUUUCUACUGAUUCAUAAUAAUAAUAUGUAGGUAUACUAUUCUCAAUAUGGUUACUGGGUGUAAAAGAUAAAUCUUAUUCUAUCUGUUCUUCAUGAGUUUUAGAUAAUUUUAGUUGUAUUUCUUUGUAAUUUUGUGUUGUACAAAGAUUAAUUUAACAUUUUCUCUGGAAGUAUUAAUUUAGAAAGAUAAUAUGCUUCAUUGGUGUUGUGUUUUGAAGUGUGAAAUGCAAAGUAAUUGUGAUAAAGUCAAGAUAAAGUUCACUUUUAAACUGAACUAAAUAAGGUAUCUGAGAGACAACAAUGGUUAAAUGCAAUACAAUGUACAGGUUUUACUAGCGAAAUGAAAAUUUUCCUGUCCUGUCUGCUGUAAUCAUUUUAUAUCUGGAAAAUAGGAAAACCAGCCGACUUAAUCGAUAAUAACAAUCUCCAGAUUGGGUUCCUUCAAUAAAUAUGGGCUAUAAACACAAUGAAAUAAGUUCCCCAAAAUCUAAAAUGGAGUGGUAUCAAAGGAGAAUUAAAGGAAAAAAUAUUCAUAUUGAAAUUAUUUAUAAGGCACUGGACUGUCUUAAAUUCUACAAUAAUACUAGGUGGGUAAAUGAUUUUAGACAUUUUUCAUUAAGAGUAGAUUAAGAUUAAGUAGAUUUUCAUUCAGUAGAUUUAAGACUUGUUUACACGGGUAGAGUAAUGAUGCAAGUACUUGAUAGAGUAGAGUAACUCUACCUGUAAAAAUGCUCAGCACAGUAGAAUAGCUGGUAGAGUGUAUAGUUGGAGUUAAAGUAGAGUGACUAGCAACCUAUGGCAAAGUAACUACUCUAUGACCACCACUACUGCCAAAAUGUCUACUCAGCUGCACACUCUACCCAUGGAACACGCUCAAUUACGGCAGAAUAGAGUAGGUAGGAGAGUACAUGGGGCGCUGUCAUUCUGGCUGGAAUUGUGUUUUGUGUAAAUAGUGAAAAUGAAGUUCACCGAAGAUGAAACUUUAAAACUUGUAGAGCUAUAAUACGGCGAAUACCAGUGUUUAUGGAAUUUAGGUAGUGUAUACUACAGAAAUAAAAGUUUGCAGCAAGCUGCGCAGGAUGAAAUCGUCGAAAGAAUGGCAAAGG